Molecule: transfer RNA, 72 nt
Filed under: Chloropicon sp. RCC4434
Lineage: Eukaryota; Viridiplantae; Chlorophyta; Chloropicophyceae; Chloropicales; Chloropicaceae
Description: tRNA-Asn
Rfam family: tRNA
About the family: Transfer RNA (tRNA) molecules are approximately 80 nucleotides in length. Their secondary structure includes four short double-helical elements and three loops (D, anti-codon, and T loops).
Source: RNAcentral
UCCUCAAUAGCUCAGUGGUAGAGCGGAUGGCUGUUAACCAUUAGGUCGUUGGUUCAAAUCCAACUUGGGGAG